CCUAAAGGGACCAGAAUAUGCGAGGUCCGUUCGCCUUGUUUACAGAGAUUGGUUUGACCUGAAGAGGAAGCUUUAGCUCGGGAGCACCUAUGUAUAUGCAUGGGGAAAGGAUUCUUCAGAAAGUGCAAAUAAUCAAGUAUCACCAGUAAAAUCUGGCUCCCCGAGCGACGUAGCCUGCUCCACUAUUCAAGUACUGGUGUUUAAUGCCUACAUUAUGCCUGCACUGAUUAAAUUUAUUGUAAUUAUGC
Long non-coding RNA from Dermacentor andersoni, 248 nucleotides. RefSeq lists it as uncharacterized. Lineage: Eukaryota; Metazoa; Arthropoda; Arachnida; Ixodida; Ixodidae. The record is from RefSeq and is a predicted model, not a curated record.